This is a long non-coding RNA of Cloeon dipterum, 373 nucleotides long. RefSeq lists it as uncharacterized. The record is from RefSeq and is a predicted model, not a curated record. The transcript has 3 exons. Lineage: Eukaryota; Metazoa; Arthropoda; Insecta; Ephemeroptera; Baetidae.
UGGUGUUUGGGCAGAGUGGAGAAGGAAAUCGGGAAUUGAUGCAAUCACUUACACGACCAUGAUAUUUGGAAAAAAGAAAAUAACUUGGGCAGAAAACAUGGAGCUCUGCUGCAGCAUUGGAAUGAAGCCCAUCAGAGUGACGGAUGAGCUUCUUUUAACGCUAAACUCGAUUGGAGUAUCAUAUAAAAGUUUCAAAAUCUUCGACAAAACUGAGAACUCUACCGAGGACCGCAUGUUGAUUAAAACGAGUUUCUGGACGGCUGCGACGCGGCAGGGGUGCGCCGGGCAUUACCGCUUCUGCAUGCACGACGACGUCGGCCCGUGGGACUCGCAGGACAGCUUCUGGGACACGGUGAACCCGCGGGACAGUGGC